Pieris napi is the source of this 1556-nucleotide long non-coding RNA. RefSeq lists it as uncharacterized. Lineage: Eukaryota; Metazoa; Arthropoda; Insecta; Lepidoptera; Pieridae. The record is from RefSeq and is a predicted model, not a curated record. The transcript has 3 exons.
AUAUAGCUUGGCAAAUAGUCAUAUUUUUAAACAUACUGUAUAGUGAAAUUGCAUUAGUGUGAGUACUGUGAACGCGCCAGCUUUUGAUAACCGACCUAUACACGAAGCAAUUUUCUUGCCUGUAGCCGUAAAUAGAGUAUAGAACUAGAUGAGCUUCUAAAAUGACAAUAAUAACUAAAGAGAGAAGGCAUUAACGUGAAAUACUUAAGUGAGAGCAAAACAAAGUAUCAGUUUUUCUCUCUCUAUUUGCGUAUCGGGUUUUAUUUGUUUACCACCGAACCCUUGGUGGUUGUUUGGUUUAAACAAGUUUUCACCGCUUACUGAUCUGUGAAACCCAAGUCAAACCCAUAUUUUAAGACUUUAUCCUUAUAGAUAAAGUCUUAAAAUCGUAAAAAGUCUUAAAUAAUUAAUAUUUUAAGACUUUAUCCUUAUAGAUAAAGUCUUAAAAUAUGGGUUAGAGGUGUAUUUAAAGUGUCAGUGAUGGUGAAUUGUUGCAUAAUUGGCUGUAAAAGCUAUAGUGAACGUAAAGAACCAAACAUAACCUUUCAUCGCUAAGUAGCUUAUUUUGUCACGACUCAGUAACUUUGUUCAAGAAUUAUUCAUUCGAAUGUGUAUUUUGGUCAAUAAUAAGCAAUCUUCAAUGAAAAAAUUAAAAAACUGUAAAUACGACAUAUGUCAAUCAUUCGCUAUCUCACACAUUAUACGCUGAUGCCUGGUCUAUACUAUACCAUAGUCCGUGUACAGUAAUUUGUGACUUAAAGCGCCACUUAGGGCCAGUUUUUUGAUCCGUAGUAAAAAAUGGUUUAACCAUUUGUUACAUUAACUAUAGUUUAAUGAAUAACCAUUGGUAAAAUCGUAAAUGCGUUUUUCAAUGUCUAUUUUAACUAUAGUUAAACUUAACAAUUGGUCAAUUUGUUGCCAGUGCACUGAGCAAUGACAUCCCAAAAAAUGUGGUUCUUUUUUGUGGGGAACAUUUAUUUUGUAUGACAACACUAGACAUAUUGAGUGAAUGAAAUCCAUUUUUGCCAUCUUCAUUCGUUAUUUGCGCUUUGAAGAGUUUGAAGUGUCAAAUUAAUCUAAAUAACACGAUAUAAAUAAAGUUGUUUUUCUGUGUUUUAAUACGGUUUACACCUUUUACGAUACUUAAAUAUAUAAAUAACGAUGUCCGCAAACAGCCAACGGUCAAACAAGGACCAUACUGCUAACUUCGCCAAAAAGAAACUGCCAAACUGGUGAUGCUUCUCAAGGAUUAUACAGUCGUAACCUGCAAACAACUGAUCACUGCAGCAAUCUACAAAAAGAUGCAGCUUGGAAAUCUCUGUGAUGUUUUCAACUCAGAUGGGUCUAGACACCGAAGUCUGUGUCCUACAACAAAAGGAAAAUUCUUUUAACCCUUUGGAAACAAGAAAGCGGAUUAUGAUCCACUCGCAUAAAAAAAUUGAGGUUUUGAAACAAAAACAAGCAAAAAGAUAGCAUGAUUUCUCCAAUUAUGCUAAGGAAGAGCAUCAAAAACAUUUGCUGCACAAAGAAGAGGCCCACCAAAAAUCCAUGCUGCA